GGGCUAGCUUCGGUUUUCUCCCAUGUUAAUACUCUAUAUUUCGGUGGAGAUUUUAGAAGGCAGGAGCGACAAAGACUCUGGUUGUUAGAGUGCGAUUCCAUUAUGGUUUCGAUUUUGUUGGAUUUUUUCCUUCUUUCUUCCCUAUACCGUUCGAACAUGGCUCGGACAUGGUGACGGAAGAAAUCUAUUGGCAAACUGAAAUUUUGGCUCUUUAUAGAUAGGUAUAGAUUAUAAUUAUAUCUGUGUGGAUUUCAAGACGAGAAAUGUAAACAAAGAGAGUACAGAGAUGGCACGACUCAAUGAACACGGAUGUGGAUAUAAUAAUGAAUUCACGUGUGGAUAAUAUAAACUUCGUUGGAAAAUAGAGGAUCGUUCCACGACCUUUACAGUGCCGUCCUUUGCACCAAUCAAUCCCCAUCGGUUUGUUCUCUUCUUCAGAAAAAGAAAAGUGUCUGCUAAGUCGUAAUGAGUUCGUACUGCAGAGGAUAGGCAAGUACUUCGAGUUAUCCAGAUAAUUAUCCAAAACAUGUAUCAUGGUUUCGAUUUUGUUGGAUUUUUUCCUUCUUUAAUCUCUCUACUGUUCGAAUAUGGCUCGGACAUGGUGACGGAAGAAAUCCAUUGGCAAACUGAAAUUUUAGCUCUUUAUAGAUAUGUAUAGA
Molecule: long non-coding RNA, 659 nt
Filed under: Sorghum bicolor (sorghum)
Lineage: Eukaryota; Viridiplantae; Streptophyta; Magnoliopsida; Poales; Poaceae
Description: long non-coding RNA (SBIC_LNC000308)
Source: RNAcentral